AAGAAGCAAGACCGUGAGGUGGAGCAAAACUCAAAAACUUAGUCUCAGUUCGGAUUGUAGGCUGAAACUCGCCUACAUGAAGCUGGAGUUGCUAGUGAUCGCGAAUCAGCAUGUCGCGGUGAAUACGUUCCCGGGCCUUGUACACACCGCCCGUCACACCAUGAGAGUUGGCAAUACCCAACGUACGUGAUCUAACCCGCAAGGGAGGAAGCGUCCUAAGGUAGGGUCAGCGAUUGGGGUGAAGUCGUAACAAGGUAGC
Molecule: ribosomal RNA, 259 nt
Filed under: uncultured bacterium
Lineage: Bacteria
Description: partial 16S ribosomal RNA
Rfam family: Bacterial small subunit ribosomal RNA
Source: RNAcentral